Long non-coding RNA from Salmo salar (Atlantic salmon), 1496 nucleotides. RefSeq lists it as uncharacterized. NCBI's taxonomy places the organism in Eukaryota, Metazoa, Chordata, Actinopteri, Salmoniformes, Salmonidae. The record is from RefSeq and is a predicted model, not a curated record.
AUGAAACAACUACAACUAUGGGUUGUUCUAGUUCCUCAACGGCACAAUUAAGAGAGCUGAAAAAAGUACCUUCUAGUCGAAGACUCUUUGAGUCGUAAUAGUGCAUUGAAAUGACUUAGGAACUGUGCACACUUUGGAGAGAUGUUUGUCUACUUGGAGAAACCAGUUAGUCCUCUCACUCAAACCCUUAUUACUGUGCCAGCAAGUUUGCUGCUAUUGGCUUUGCUGAGUCUGUGGCUCUGGAGCUGCUGGCAACGGGGAAGGAUGGAGUCAAGACUAUUAUCGUGUAUCCAUAUUUCAUGAACACUGGCAUGUUCGAUGGCUGCAAUACUAAACGAAAUGCUGCUUACUGUGGACUGGUGGCCUCUGUUGUUGCCUAUCCUGGAUCCAGACUACAUAGCAAAGAGGAUAACGAAAGCCAUUUUAACUGACCAGGUCUACCUUCUGCUCCCAAAGAGCAUGUAUAUUCUCAUGGGCAUGAAGAAGGUCUUGACCUGACUGCAGCUCGGCGGCGUAACCGGACUUCAGUGGGCAAAUGCUCACCUUCGAUGUCCACUGGCACACAGGAGAAGUGUGCUCUUCAUAGAUGAGUCCCGGUUUCAACUGUACCAGGCAGAUGGCGUGUAUGGUGUCGUGGAAAUGCGACAAUCUGAAAUUAAUCAUUCUUUGUCAGCUCACUGGAGAGGUUCCAACAAACUUGAUGCACCAUAGUGAACGUCUGUCAGGAGCUCCCACGGGGCAGUCCCGUUUAGUUCCCUUAUAUACUGGUUACAGACAUAUUACAUAGGCAUAGUUCAUAGGGUUGGUUCUGUCAUGUGUCUGGCACCGUCUCCUAUCUUAAAGAACAUAUUCUGGGCAUUCUGCCAAAUAGUCUAAAGUAGGAGGUCAUGACGGCCACCCUCACAUCUUUACCAGGCACAGGUAGGAAUCAAGGAUUGUUUAUGACACCAACGACAAGAUGCAUGUAAUGGGAAUUUUUAUGUGUGCUUUUCUUAUAACCAAUUUCUGUGUUCUAUUCAUGUGCUGUUCUAUAAACCCAUUUCUGUGUUGUUGUUGACUGAACAAAUCUUCCUCUUAUCAGUAGCUGCAAUUUGGCAGUGUUUUGAGAACAAACGAAAGAUAUCUCAGUUUCAAGGUCUCAGCUUAGAGAGAAGCCUCGUGAGGUGUUGGUCUGUCACGUUAUGAACCAGCGUUGGUCAGUCACAUGAAUGAAACAAAACAGUAAUGAAUAAUUAAUUAUGCAAAUAUAACUUGUCUGUGUAUAGCUGUAUAUAAGACAACUGCUGGGUCUGCCAAGGGAGAGCUCCUGAUUGAUAUGUGUACUAUGGUGCAUUGAGUUGGAAUCUCUCCAGCGCGCUGACAAACGAUUGCUCAUUUAAGAUUGACUUUGAGUGUCCCUGUGUAGGAAUUUUCCCACAGCAUGCACAAAGUAAAAUGUCCUUCACAUUCCACCCUUUUAUCACUUGUGUGAAAAUAAAUCAUUACAUUUUAAGGUA